UUGGGGAUUAGUGGCGAACGGGUGAGUAACACGUGAGUAACCUGCCCUUGACUCUGGGAUAAGCGUUGGAAACGACGUCUAAUACCGGAUACGAGCUUCCACCGCAUGGUGAGUUGCUGGAAAGAAUUUUGGUCAAGGAUGGACUCGCGGCCUAUCAGCUUGUUGGUGAGGUAACGGCUCACCAAGGCGACGACGGGUAGCCGGCCUGAGAGGGUGACCGGCCACACUGGGACUGAGACACGGCCCAGACUCCUACGGGAGGCAGCAGUGGGGAAUAUUGCACAAUGGGCGAAAGCCUGAUGCAGCAACGCCGCGUGAGGGACGACGGCCUUCGGGUUGUAAACCUCUUUUAGCAGGGAAGAAGCGAAAGUGACGGUACCUGCAGAAAAAGCACCGGCUAACUACGUGCC
Molecule: ribosomal RNA, 410 nt
Filed under: Plantibacter sp. R10.56
Lineage: Bacteria; Bacillati; Actinomycetota; Actinomycetes; Micrococcales; Microbacteriaceae
Description: bacterial SSU rRNA
Rfam family: Bacterial small subunit ribosomal RNA
Source: RNAcentral